UAAGGAAUAUUGGGCAAUGGAGGCAACUCUGACCCAGCCAUCCCGCGUGAAGGAUUAAGGCCCUAUGGGUUGUAAACUUCUUUUGUUUGGGAAGAAAUCAGGACAUUUAUGUGCUGUUGACGGUACCUUACGAAUAAGCACCGGCUAACUCCGUGCCAGCAGCCGCGGUAAUACGGAGGGUGCAAGCGUUAUCCGGAAUCACUGGGUUUAAAGGGUGCGUAGGCGGUUUGAUAAGUCAGAGGUGAAAGCUAGCAGCUUAACUGUUAAAUUGCCUUUGAUACUGUCAGACUUGAAUCAAGUUGAGGUAGGCGGAAUGUGACAUGUAGCGGUGAAAUGCAUAGAUAUGUCAUAGAACACCAAUUGCGUAGGCAGCUUGCUGGGCUUGAAUUGACGCUGAGGC
RNAcentral lists this ribosomal RNA (400 nucleotides) under uncultured bacterium. RNAcentral describes it as "bacterial SSU rRNA". It matches the Rfam family "Bacterial small subunit ribosomal RNA", at positions 355 to 752 of the family's 1533-position model. The record is from RNAcentral.